UGAGCGAACACUACACUUGCAUAGGUCAU
RNAcentral lists this non-coding RNA (29 nucleotides) under Bombyx mori (domestic silkworm). The record is from RNAcentral. Lineage: Eukaryota; Metazoa; Arthropoda; Insecta; Lepidoptera; Bombycidae.